RNAcentral lists this ribosomal RNA (721 nucleotides) under Microbacterium resistens. RNAcentral describes it as "bacterial SSU rRNA". It matches the Rfam family "Bacterial small subunit ribosomal RNA", at positions 416 to 1148 of the family's 1533-position model. Lineage: Bacteria; Bacillati; Actinomycetota; Actinomycetes; Micrococcales; Microbacteriaceae. The record is from RNAcentral.
CUUCGGGUUGUAAACCUCUUUUAGCAGGGAAGAAGCGUGAGUGACGGUACCUGCAGAAAAAGCGCCGGCUAACUACGUGCCAGCAGCCGCGGUAAUACGUAGGGCGCAAGCGUUAUCCGGAAUUAUUGGGCGUAAAGAGCUCGUAGGCGGUUUGUCGCGUCUGCUGUGAAAUCCCGAGGCUCAACCUCGGGCCUGCAGUGGGUACGGGCAGACUAGAGUGCGGUAGGGGAGAUUGGAAUUCCUGGUGUAGCGGUGGAAUGCGCAGAUAUCAGGAGGAACACCGAUGGCGAAGGCAGAUCUCUGGGCCGUAACUGACGCUGAGGAGCGAAAGGGUGGGGAGCAAACAGGCUUAGAUACCCUGGUAGUCCACCCCGUAAACGUUGGGAACUAGUUGUGGGGUCCUUUCCACGGAUUCCGUGACGCAGCUAACGCAUUAAGUUCCCCGCCUGGGGAGUACGGCCGCAAGGCUAAAACUCAAAGGAAUUGACGGGGACCCGCACAAGCGGCGGAGCAUGCGGAUUAAUUCGAUGCAACGCGAAGAACCUUACCAAGGCUUGACAUACACGAGAACGGGCCAGAAAUGGUCAACUCUUUGGACACUCGUGAACAGGUGGUGCAUGGUUGUCGUCAGCUCGUGUCGUGAGAUGUUGGGUUAAGUCCCGCAACGAGCGCAACCCUCGUUCUAUGUUGCCAGCACGUUAUGGUGGGAACUCAUGGGAUA